GGUGAUUCUUUAAAGAUUCAUGAACAACUCAAGUAUGAAAAUGUGAAAAAAAAACAUUAUUUUACAUCUUUAAUGUGUUUAUCUCUAGUCAGAAACUAUCAAAAUGUCGAUUAUUUCUUUCCCGGCAUUUUUACACCGAAAAGGGGAAUAAUCGAUCUGAAUCAAUUCAGUGUUUAAAUGUCGCCGAGUAAGGACUUGAAUAUCAUUCAUCUAUAAAGAUCGCAUUGGCACACCCCG
This 237-nucleotide long non-coding RNA is filed under the name Mytilus galloprovincialis (Mediterranean mussel). The record is from RNAcentral. Lineage: Eukaryota; Metazoa; Mollusca; Bivalvia; Mytilida; Mytilidae.